Molecule: long non-coding RNA, 2582 nt
Filed under: Nicotiana benthamiana
Lineage: Eukaryota; Viridiplantae; Streptophyta; Magnoliopsida; Solanales; Solanaceae
Description: long non-coding RNA (NBEN_LNC029333)
Source: RNAcentral
GAACUCCCCAGUCGUCUCUAAUACCUAAACUAAAGAAAUUUAGCCGCCCCAAUUUUCCCGAUUGUCUACCGCCCUCUGCAGAUGGAAAAUGCCUCACGGCAGUGGAACUUCUCCAAGUGGGCCCGAACCAACACCCCAAAACCCCCGCUAUCUCCUCUUUCUAAAUCUCCAAACCGAUUCCCUCGAAUCACUCUCAAACGCCUUGAAUUUCAACUUUAAGUUUCAAUCCUAGAAACCCCAAUUCACCGAAAUCGCCCCAAAUUAACACCCGAUAAUCAUUACACCUCUCUAAAAUAUAAACCACCAUUAAUACCUUUCGAAUCAGCCUUUUUGAAUCCGAGUUCUCAAGAACCCUAACUUCCUUUCACUUCCAAAUUUUCUGGCAGUUUUUGGGGAUUUUGAACCCAAGAUUUCCUUGAGUCCAUUACUCUUAAUAAGAGCAGUGCAUUGAUAGUUGUCUAAAGUUCAUUUGCACCUCGAAAAUUUAAUCUGAAUUCUAAAGCAUUUCAGUUUUUAUUGAUGAAGAAAAUAAGCAUUAGGUAAUUUAUUGUACCUUUUUGCUUCUUUAGUUUUCUUUUGGUUUUCACCAUUUUCCCUUCUUGAUAAUUGCUUUUGAUUUGGCCGCAUAAUUUAGGUUUUUUUUUCUUCCUGUUAGUUUCAUUAUUUGCAUGUUUAGAUUUCAUUAUUAGGGAUUUAAUUUGCAUGUUUAGUUUCUGAUAACUCUUUAUUUCUCUUUCACGUUUGCUUCUUCUUGAAAGUUUGUUUUCAGUAUCCCUUAGUUUAAUUAGGAUAGAGUUAAUGGUAAUUAAUUUCCUAUUUCAUCUAAUUCUUAAUAGAUUUAGUUUUAGCCUAAUUCAGCGUAGUCUUAGUUAAAAUAGUUUACUUUUGAUUAGCUAUUUGAAUCUUAGUUUACAUGCUUACAUGUUUUGAUUGAUUAGUAUUAACUGAUUUUAACUUAGGUUUGAACCUCAGAAUAGCAGUUUAAACCUUAUUUUAAUUUUAGUUUAAUUUCAGAAAAUGAAAUGCAACACCACUAGGCAACCUAAUCACUUAGUUGAAGAUCUUAAAAUGGUUGUAAUUGAUUUGUAAUCAGAAAAUAGGAGAAAUCUGAAAUAGUAAAUAAUUUAAAGGGUACAAUUGGUCUUUUUCAAAGGUUAACCAUCAGAAUGUUCUAGGCUUUUCACAGCUGCCCCCAUCUUUAGCCUAAACAUACUAGUAUUGGAUAAAAAAAGAUAGACAACUGUAAAAGAUGUUUUACUAGUUUGAUUUUAAGAAUUUUUUUGUUAGGAUAAUCUUUUUUUAGUCCUUUUUGUGCACUCUAUAAAAGGGAAAGAUUCCCUCACUCACACACGCACACAUUCAUCAAGAUUUCUCUACACAAAAGCUUUAGGAAAAGGCAUUAGAUUUCAGAAACUCUAGAAAACUUUCAAAACUUCUUAUUUUUGGUCUUUACAAGCUGAAAAAUAUUGUUUGAAGUAGAGGGUUUUUCUUGGGUUCUUUAUCUGGAAUUUCUAGCUUCAAUGUUGGUUCGCUUUGGUUUAAAAUUAUGGUUAAUUUGGUGUUGUUGCUGUUGUGUUGGUUUCUGUCUUUGCAAUCUUCAGCCAUCUUCACUCUUUCUCUCUCCUGUUUUUGCUAGUUUUAUUGCUGCUACUUAGGUAUUUAACUUCUGCUCCUUCUCUAUGUAAUGCCAUGGAUGGUUUGUUAAAAUGAUAUAAAGUCAGAUGUAUAAAUAGUGUUUGUAGAAGUGAAUAUUUUUCAUACUGGUGGUAAGCUUACAAUGAUAUGAAUGUGAUUAAAUUUUGACUAUGCAAGUUUAAAUGUUUGAGCAUGAAUAACCUAGUUUAUACUUGAAUUCCUUGUAGUUUCAGUUUGCAAAAAUAUCCUUGUUUAUGUCCAUAGCCAAAACUUCUAGUUAUUAAUGUUGAAUAUAAAACUUUAAUGUUAUUUUUCUUUCCUUUAUGUGAAUAGACAACUUUUCCCUUAUUUAAAGCCCUUUAUUUUCUCUCUUGUUUGUCUGGCUGUAAGCUACUGCUUGCAGAUUUGGCUACUAGUUGGCAAAAUCAGCAGGUUUAAAAGCUGAAAAUGGAAUAUCAUGCUACUAUAACAAGAGAAGACAAAGCCCUAAUGGAGAAACUAUGUCAAAGAGAGGCAGAGAUUCUUCAUGACAUCAUUUAUAAAAAUUUGUAAUAGUUUAGCCUUUAAUAUAGUUAGGAUGUGACAAACUUUAAUGUAAGAUGUUAAUUAUGAAAGUUGUUUGUUCUAUUUUAGAAAACUGUAAUAAAUAAGGUAUUGGUGUCGAUGCAUAAUGAGCUUACUUAUGUGUUUUUACUGUUUUACAAAAUAGUAAUGGUGCUGGGUUUUGAGCCCACUCAGUAGAACCAAAGCUGCUUAUUUGAUAAUAAAGGGGUUGAAUUUGUAGCCCAAAUUAACCUCAGACAAGUUGGGCCUAGUCCAUAGGCUCAAACUUUGAGUCAGUCUAGAAUCCUUUUUUCAUGGAUCAUUUUAUGUCAAUUGAUUAAUUAUUAGUACUCAGCUUAUAUAUAUUUUUUCAAAAUUUUAACAUGUUAGAACAAUAGUAUUGC